GGGCCUGUAGUCUAGCGGAUAGGACACCGGGCUUCGGACCCGGCAACCAGGGUUCAAAUCCCUGCAGGCCCG
Molecule: transfer RNA, 72 nt
Filed under: Methanobacteriota archaeon
Lineage: Archaea; Methanobacteriati; Methanobacteriota
Description: Euryarchaeota archaeon tRNA-Arg
Rfam family: tRNA
About the family: Transfer RNA (tRNA) molecules are approximately 80 nucleotides in length. Their secondary structure includes four short double-helical elements and three loops (D, anti-codon, and T loops).
Source: RNAcentral